This 405-nucleotide long non-coding RNA is filed under the name Elaeis guineensis (African oil palm). RNAcentral's name for it is "long non-coding RNA (EGUI_LNC072394)". The record is from RNAcentral. Lineage: Eukaryota; Viridiplantae; Streptophyta; Magnoliopsida; Arecales; Arecaceae.
AUAUAACUUUAUAUCACAUACAAUAGAUCUAAGAUUUCAAGAUCUAGGGUUUUGUAGAAAAAUAAGUUCUUCCUUUCAUAUUCUUCUUCAUGGGAUCUAAUUAUAUGGCACCCCUACACAUCAUAAGAGUACCCCAUCGAAUGGGAAGAGAGGGCUUUUAAACCCUUCUUGCUCCUAUGAUCGGACAGCCUGGUGAUCAACCUAAUCCAAGUACUUGCUAAUCGGAUCUUCUAAUCUAAUCACAUAUCACAUGUGCAUGAAUUUAGAUCUAAUCUAAAUUAUAUUAGAUCUGAUUAUAACUUUAGAUCACAUUUAAACUAGAUUAUAAACAUCACAUGCAACACAUAAAAUCAGAUUUUAUCAAUGAUCAGCACAAACUAGGACAACCUUUUCAUUGUAAGGGAU